CUCCACUGGAGCCGCAGCCAUUCUGUGUCCAAUGGAGGAUGUCACUGUCUGAUGAUACAAUCAGUGGAGUUGCAUAAGACUGGGAAACUGGCUUCAUUUGACUGCUCUACUCCACCUAAGUGAAUUGUGUGUAACUGAGAGAAGAAGCUGAUGGGAAUCUAGUGAUUUUAUCUCCACCCCAGCUGGACCGAUGGGACCUCAUGACCUACAUUCACGGCCAGCUGUCAUGCCAACAACAUCACCUACAUCCUCUGCCAGUUCCCCAGCCAGCAGAUACUGGUAUAUGGUGCUGCAAAGGUGCCUGUCUUGUCCAUUUCCUGCUAAGCAGAAACAGCUAAACUGCUCUCUGACCACAGGAUGGCAGUAUGAUGCCAGGACUAGUCUUAGAGCUUCUUUCUUUGUUCUCUU
Molecule: long non-coding RNA, 408 nt
Organism: Onychostoma macrolepis
Lineage: Eukaryota; Metazoa; Chordata; Actinopteri; Cypriniformes; Cyprinidae
Exons: 3
Source: RefSeq, a predicted model, not a curated record